CCUACGGGGCGCUGCAGUGGGGAAUAUUGGACAAUGGGCGAAAGCCUGAUCCAGCCAUGCCGCGUGUGUGAAGAAGGCCUUCGGGUUGUAAAGCACUUUCAGUGGGGAAGAAAGCCUUGGGGCUAAUACCCUCGAGGAAGGACAUCACCCACAGAAGAAGCACCGGCUAACUCCGUGCCAGCAGCCGCGGUAAUACGGAGGGUGCGAGCGUUAAUCGGAAUUACUGGGCGUAAAGCGCGCGUAGGCGGUCUGAUAAGCCGGUUGUGAAAGCCCCGGGCUCAACCUGGGAACGGCAUCCGGAACUGUCAGGCUAGAGUGCAGGAGAGGAAGGUAGAAUUCCCGGUGUAGCGGUGAAAUGCGUAGAGAUCGGGAGGAAUACCAGUGGCGAAGGCGGCCUUCUGGACUGACACUGACGCUGAGGUGCGAAAGCGUGGGUAGCAAACAGGAUUAGAUCCCGAGUAGUC
RNAcentral lists this ribosomal RNA (464 nucleotides) under Vreelandella stevensii. Its description in RNAcentral is "partial 16S ribosomal RNA". It matches the Rfam family "Bacterial small subunit ribosomal RNA", at positions 338 to 795 of the family's 1533-position model. The record is from RNAcentral. Lineage: Bacteria; Pseudomonadati; Pseudomonadota; Gammaproteobacteria; Oceanospirillales; Halomonadaceae.